CGGACGGGUGAGUAAUGCAUCGGAACGUGUCCUAAAGUGGGGGAUAACGCAUCGAAAGAUGUGCUAAUACCGCAUAUUCUCUGAGGAGGAAAGUAGGGGAUCGAAAGACCUUAUGCUUUUGGAGCGGCCGAUGUCUGAUUAGCUAGUUGGUAGGGUAAUGGCUUACCAAGGCGACGAUCAGUAGUUGGUCUGAGAGGACGACCAGCCACACUGGGACUGAGACACGGCCCAGACUCCUACGGGAGGCAGCAGUGGGGAAUUUUGGACAAUGGGCGCAAGCCUGAUCCAGCAAUGCCGCGUGAGUGAAGAAGGCCUUCGGGUUGUAAAGCUCUUUCAGUUGAAAAGAAAAAGCCGUGACUAAUAAUCAUGGUUCAUGACGGUAUCAACAGAAGAAGCACCGGCUAACUACGUGCCAGCAGCCGCGGUAAUACGUAGGGUGCAAGCGUUAAUCGGAAUUACUGGGCGUAAAGGGUGCGCAGGCGGUUCUGUAAGUCAGAUGUGAAAUCCCCGGGCUUAACCUGGGAACUGCGUUUGAAACUGCAGAGCUAGAGUGCGGCAAAGGGAGGUGGAAUUCCAUGUGUAGCAGUGAAAUGCGUAGAGAUAUGGAAGAACAUCGAUGGCGAAGGCAACCUCCUGGGCUAGCACUGACGCUCAUGCACGAAAGCGUGGGGAGCAAACAGGAUUAGAUACCCUGGUAGUCCACGCCCUAAACUAUGUCAACUAGUUGUCGGGCCUUAAUAGGCUUGGUAACGUAGCUAACGCGUGAA
This 767-nucleotide ribosomal RNA is filed under the name uncultured bacterium. RNAcentral describes it as "bacterial SSU rRNA". It matches the Rfam family "Bacterial small subunit ribosomal RNA", at positions 99 to 863 of the family's 1533-position model. The record is from RNAcentral.